Molecule: non-coding RNA, 74 nt
Organism: Otolemur garnettii (small-eared galago)
Lineage: Eukaryota; Metazoa; Chordata; Mammalia; Primates; Galagidae
Source: Rfam
GCACCUGUGGCUUAAAGAAGUAGGGCACUGGCCUCAUAUGCCAGAGGUGGCAGGUUCAAACCCAGCCUCGGCCA